RNAcentral lists this unclassified non-coding RNA (959 nucleotides) under Hevea brasiliensis (rubber tree). Lineage: Eukaryota; Viridiplantae; Streptophyta; Magnoliopsida; Malpighiales; Euphorbiaceae. The record is from RNAcentral.
AUUUAUUUAUUUAUUUUUUAAAUAUACUUAUGUAUUUAUAUGGUCAACAAUUUUUGUGUAUGAAUACAGAUAGAUGGACAUUUUUCUUGAGUUGAUGUGUCAAAGGGUUUUAUUACUUUGGCUUCGACACACAUUCACCACCCUGCAUUGUUUCAAUUAUUUCUAGGUCUUCUUUCUGGUUGAGAUGUUGGAUGGUUCACCCAUGUAGUCAUCCAUUUGGGUUGUAAGUUUGAGUAACUGUUCUUUAAAUUCCAAGCAAUUGAAUGAUACUCUCUGUGAUUUUUGCUUCUGUAGUUCUAUUAUCACUUGACAUGUUAUUUUGAAGAGAAAGUCACUUGAUUUAGAUUUUGGCAGUAAAGAAUGGCAUGCUGCAUGCCAUUUGAACCACAUCCCUUUUGCUUUAUAAUGGGGAAUUUGUUGAUAUAUUUUGGUGUUGUUUUUGAAAAUAUCUGUUGAAUUUUAGUGAUCAGUUAUGUAAAUUAAUUGAAAUAGUUGUUCAAUCAUGGUUUUGGGAUGGCACAUCUUUGUUUUAGCUAUGGGACUUUUCUGGUCUUGAAUGGUUGGAUGUUACAGGGUAUGUAAUUCCUUUCUAGAGUGUUUCAUUAUGAAAAUAUAUAUUGUUUAUUGUGAUGAGAUUUGUAACAUGGUUUCAAGUUUUUCAAUGAUAUCAUUAUGAUCCCUAAGAUACUGGCUUUUUUUUAGAGAAUAUUUUAUUGAAAACAAUGGGAAGGUGAAGAAUUAAGCAGUGUUACAACAGUAUUGGAACUGAGCUGUAUCUGAUAUGUGUAUCUUUAGCCCAGUCCUACACCACACAGUAACCCAUGUGUUCAUCAAUUAGGGCUGUAACUUUUUGUAAUUCUUUAUCUUGCCUUAUUUUGGAAAACCUAGCUCUCUUGUUGUCUAAGAGGAGUUAGUAUAAUCUUCUGGUUUUGCUCAGGAUGAUGAGACAACCUUGUCAG